GUUUUAGUCCAGUAUUUCCUCACUAUGCUCCAUUCCCUAUGUUUUGGAAUGAUAAUAUAUAUCCUGUGCAUAUGUUGGAAGUAUCUGAUACACUUUUUGCUUUUGAUUUUACAGGAGAUUAUAGUUAAGAGAUUGCAUGAAUCUCAGAAAAGACUUUGAACUUUGGACUUUAAAACACUGUAGAGAAUGUGAGAAACUAUGGGAACUUUUGAAGUUGGUCUGAGUGCAUUUUUGCAUUAUGACAUGGCUACAAGCCUUUAGGGGCCAGGCAGUGGAAUGUAGUGGUUUGAAAGGAAAUGGUCCCCAAAGGGAGUGUACUAUUAGGAGGUGUGGCCCUGUUGGAAUAGGUGUGGUCUUGUUGGAGGAAGUGUGUCACUGUGGAGGUGGGCUUUGAGGUCUCAUAUAUGCUCAAGAUACUGCCCAGUGUCUCAGACCACUUCUUGUUACCUGCAAGAUGUAGGACUCUCAGCACCAUGUCUGCCUGCACACCACCAUGUCCCAACAUGAAGAUAAUGGACUAAACCUGUUAAGUGCAAGAGAGCUACCCUAAUGAAAUGUUUUCCUUUGUAAGAGUUGUCCUGGUCAUGGUGUCUCUUCACAGCAAUAGAAACCCUAACUAGGACAGGUAUGUCCCUUGUAUCCCUACUCUCUCCAAGACUUUUAUAAGAUGCCUUUCUUAUUCUUCAGUUCUGGAUAUUUGAUUCCAUUUGUUUCUUAUCAUUCUCCCCUCAUUUAUUUUUCAUUUUGUGCCUCUGUAUUUCUGUGUUGUGCAUAUGUGUGUAUACUUUGCAUAUUUGUGGGCACACAGGUGUGCAUAUAAGUUACCUGAGGUUGAUGUCUAGAUUCAUCCUUCAUUGCUCUUCUACCUUACUCACAGAGAUCUGGUUUUGCAAUCAAACUCAGCACUCACGGAUAUGACUUAUCUUCCCAGCCAGUGUGCUCUAGGAUCCUAGAUCUCUACCUUCUGAGGCUAGAAUUGCAGGCAAGCAUAAUUACCUACCUGCAUUUACAUCCAUUCUCCUCAUACUUUCACGGUAAGCAUCCACUGAGCCAUAACCCUUUCCCACACCUGCCAAUCUGUUACUAAACAUAGACUAGGAUAUUGGGGACUUAGGAACAACUUAUAGGCACCUUUGUGUAUAUGGCUGGAGCACAAAUCUAGGCAGGAGUCAUUAUGAAUUAUUAAUGUUCAGGCAGAAAAUUGCCAUUCUUAAAUGUCCGUGUGAUGACAGUCUUGAUCUGAGAUCUCACUGUGCUUGUUAGUUAGGUUUCAAGAUUUCUUUAGAAGGCAACCAUUGAUUUUAAACCAAGGCUGGGAGUUUCAUGCUAAUCCUGUGUGCCAUGUGGAUCUGUGUGUGCUUCUAUACAAAGAGCCUUCCGUGUUCCACUGCUGCCGAAACUGCUUCACCAGAAAAACCACACGUGAUCCUUGUUUAAAAUCCAGAUUUUUGGGGGUGGGGUUUUACUGUCACACUCAUUGAGCCCGGAUGUGUUUAAGGAGAACCCCAGUUUAUCCUUAAAAUCUGCCGAGAUUGGUAACACAGUCUUCCGUCAUCUGCCUGUUCCCACCCCCUGUCUGGGGCUUUGCUUCUUGAGUCUCUCUGGCUGGACAAAUAGGAACAUGCUAGUCUUUAUGCGAUCAGUCUCCAUCUGAAAACAUGGAGGGUUCCACUCUUUUUGCUUAUUAAUAUGAAAGUUUCCACCUGCUUCUCAAGUUCCAGAAAGCCAUCAGACUCUCUGACUCCCUGUUCUUGGUACUUUUAUGAGUUCUUCCCUUUGUACUUAUUUACUAUUCCCCCCACAAUGGUCUUUAUAAAGAGAUAAGGUAAACAUGUAUACUUGAAAUACUCCCUUGAAUCAAACCUCAAUAAUCACGCUUUGAAAAACUCUCCUGAGCUAGGCAAUUGGAAAUGUGCAACAUGACAGAUUGGAUAUGGGGAUAAGGGAGAUAGGGCAGUCUUGGGUAAUCCUCAACUGACUGGCCUUAUAAAUUGGGCAAAUUUUUAUGUGUUGCACUGAGGAGAAGAAAUGAAAAGGAAGAAACUGUUUUGCUAGGUAAAGAUAAUGCAUUUAGUUUUUUACAUGUCCAGUUUAUAUGAAAGCCAAAGGAAGAGCUCUGGUCAGGAAGCAUCCCUCUGUGAGCCAUUCAAUCACUGAUUCAUUCAUCAAAUUGCUUUUAUGAAGCACCUUUUAAAUGUGUGUCAGGACACGGAAAUGGAAAUAUCUUAUGGAGGACAGAAACAAAUAUCAAGCAGGUAUGAUAAGGCAUGGAGCUUUUACAAUGGGCAUCAGAAGUGACACUUGUUAAAAUGAACUUCCUCCUCUACCGAAUCUGAAAUAGAACACAGUCUGCUCAGGAAUUGUGCUGGGUGGCAGGCAUGUUUCUUCCAUGUCAGCAAAUUCAAAAGAAGAUGUCAUUAUUACCUUUAAGAAGCUUCUGAUCCAGUUGGAAGAAUGCACAUUGACACUAUAAGCAAUGGAAAACUCAUUUAUGGACCACCAGAAGGAGAAAAUGUAUAAAGACUCCACUGGCCUGAAAUAAAGAUGAUGGACCUGAA
Molecule: long non-coding RNA, 2558 nt
Organism: Peromyscus eremicus (cactus mouse)
Lineage: Eukaryota; Metazoa; Chordata; Mammalia; Rodentia; Cricetidae
Exons: 2
Source: RefSeq, a predicted model, not a curated record